This is a long non-coding RNA of Bubalus bubalis (water buffalo), 727 nucleotides long. RefSeq lists it as uncharacterized. The transcript has 2 exons. The record is from RefSeq and is a predicted model, not a curated record. Lineage: Eukaryota; Metazoa; Chordata; Mammalia; Artiodactyla; Bovidae.
AAGCUACGCCCCCUUCCUCACCGCCGGGUUGAGACCCAGUGGUCUCUGCGCACGCGCAGCGGCUCUGGGCGCCGGCCCUCCCUUCGACCCUGCCCGCUCUAAGGUGCUGGGCGCGCACCCUCCACCCCACCCGCUUCCUGGCCGAGGCCUUGUCGGGAAGACCGCCUGGACAGUGUUCCUCCUUCAGCCCGCAACCUGACCUUUUCCCUCCGGAUAGAGGCUGGCCCAUGCGCGCUCAGAUCCUGGCCAGUACCCCACCCACCCCUCCAGACAACACCUUCUUCACCCUGGACUGGGACUGUCCAUUCAGCUCACCUCGGUGUCCCCUCACGGCCUGGCGCAGGAGAAGAAAUUAGGAGAACUCCACUGCCUUUCCUUUGAACUCAUCUAGGCCUCUUUUGAGGCCUUGCCUCAAUUCCUACUCAUCUCCCACAUUGUCCCAAGUAUUCUUGCCUGGAGAAUCCCAGGAACGGAGGAACCUGGUGGGCUGCUGUCUAUGGGGUCUCACAGAGUCGUAUACGACUGAAGCAACUUAGCAGCAGCAGCAGCAGCCAAUGCCCUCCAAGUCCAUCCAUGUUGCUGCAGAUAGCAAAAUUUCACUCUUUCAUGACUGAAUAGAUUCCCAUUCUGUGUGUAUGUAUGACACCUUCUUCCAUUCAUCUGUCGAUGAACUCUUAGGUCGCUUCCGUAUCUUGGCAAUUGUAAAUAAAAUUGCUACGAACAUUGA